RNAcentral lists this ribosomal RNA (497 nucleotides) under uncultured bacterium. RNAcentral's name for it is "partial 16S ribosomal RNA". It matches the Rfam family "Bacterial small subunit ribosomal RNA", at positions 28 to 507 of the family's 1533-position model. The record is from RNAcentral.
GAUGAACGCUGGCGGCGUGCCUAAUACAUGCAAGUCGAGCGAACAGACGAGGAGCUUGCUCCUCUUACGUUAGCGGCGGACGGGUGAGUAACACGUGGAUAACCUACCUAUAAGACUGGGAUAACUUCGGGAAACCGGAGCUAAUACCGGAUAAUAUAUUGAACCGCAUGGUUCAAUAGUGAAAGACGGUUUUGCUGUCACUUAUAGAUGGAUCCGCGCCGCAUUAGCUAGUUGGUAAGGUAACGGCUUACCAAGGCAACGAUGCGUAGCCGACCUGAGAGGGUGAUCGGCCACACUGGAAAUGAGACACGGUCCAGACUCCUACGGGAGGCAGCAGUAGGGAAUCUUCCGCAAUGGGCGAAAGCUUGACGGAGCAAAGCCGCGUGAGUGAUGAAGGUAUUCGGAUCGUAAAAAUCUGUUAUUAGGGAAGAACAAAUGUGUAAGUAACUAUGCACGUCUUGACGGUACAUAAUCAGAAAGCAACGGCUAACUACGUG